This 301-nucleotide ribosomal RNA is filed under the name uncultured bacterium. RNAcentral describes it as "partial 16S ribosomal RNA". It matches the Rfam family "Bacterial small subunit ribosomal RNA", at positions 509 to 807 of the family's 1533-position model. The record is from RNAcentral.
CAGCCGCCGCGGGAAAACGUAGGUGGCAAGCGUUGUCCGGAAUUAUUGGGCGUAAAGGGCUCGCAGGCGGUUUCUUAAGUCUGAUGUGAAAGCCCCCGGCUCAACCGGGGAGGGUCAUUGGAAACUGGGAAACUCGAGUGCAGAAGAGGAGAGUGGAAUUCCACGUGUAGCGGUGAAAUGCGUAGAGAUGUGGAGGAACACCAGUGGCGAAGGCGACUCUCUGGUCCGUAACUGACGCUGAGGAGCGAAAGCGUGGGGAGCGAACAGGAUUAGAUACCCCCGUAGUCCCUGUCUCUUAUAC